This 600-nucleotide long non-coding RNA is filed under the name Homo sapiens (human). RNAcentral's name for it is "HSALNT0369512". Lineage: Eukaryota; Metazoa; Chordata; Mammalia; Primates; Hominidae. The record is from RNAcentral.
AAUUUGUACAGUACUACUAGUACUUCAAAAACAAUAUUACUUCUGUUGGACAGAGGAAGAGACAGAAGAUUCCACUGUGCGUCUAGCCUUAUUCAAAAACAAUGAAAAUAAAGUGUCUCUUCCAAAAUCACCAAAGAUGGUACAGCCCAGAAGAGAUGGUUACUUUGAAGGUAUAGAAGAAGACCCUAUCCACAAAGAUACCACUGCAAAUGAAAAAUUAGAACGGAAUAGAGAAUAUACAUACCAAUGGCUUCACACACAGGUUGGGGUUCAUGAAACGACUAGUUCCAGAAAUAUGAAAUGCAAUCACUUUUUGCCUGAGUUAGAUCCAGAUGUACUUAAUGGUGGAAGAGUUCAGCUUGUGGUAAGAAAUGUGCUUAAAGUUACAGAAAAAUGUUGUAGACACUAGUGCUCAAAUAAAUGGCACUUUAAGAUAUGUUUAUAAUUAAACUAUGAAAAUAUCACAACUGUAUCUAUUUGGGAUAAUAUCAAAAUAUCAUGUGUUAAAAUAAUAACAUGUUUUCUUGACUUGUAAUACAAUUUAAAAUGUGACAUUGCUUAAAAAUGUUAAUUUUAUGUGACAGAUGUAAAAAUAUUAGC